This 484-nucleotide long non-coding RNA is filed under the name Homo sapiens (human). Its description in RNAcentral is "long non-coding RNA NONHSAT166565.1". The record is from RNAcentral. Lineage: Eukaryota; Metazoa; Chordata; Mammalia; Primates; Hominidae.
UCUUUCCCUGGCUGACAGAACUCUGCCUUCGAGUAGGUGUUGGGGGUCAUGCCCUUCAUGAAAGGAGGAGUUUCUCUCUCAUCUCUCACACAGUGAGGAAUAUUCUAUUUAAAUUACAUGUUGAAUUAGCCAACUUUGGAGAAUUCUCUACCACCUAGUUUAUGUUGUAAGUCAAAAAACAAAUUAUUCUGCCAAGCAAGGAGCAUGUUUUAGCUUAGUCACCACAGAAGAAACAGAUCACUUUUAAUUAUGACAUUUCAUCAACACUUGGCAAGUAAGAAAGAUGGGUUGAAAGACUGCAUCAGAAAUAUUCUAGAGUUAUUUUCCUGCUAACAUGGAAACAAAAAGAUUCAAUGUGAGAAGAAAAAAUAGAUUCCUAAUGGUCAAGAGAACAAGAAAAUUAGAUAGAAACUUAAAUAUAAAGUACCCGGAAGUCAAAAUGUUUGAAAUGACACUUAGAGCCUUAAUUAACCAGAUUUUAAGA